UCAGAAUAGACAUAAAACUAACAGAACACUUAUUCGAAGGAGCAUUGUGUCUCUUUGAGUGAAGUUGAGCUUGCUGAAGA
RNAcentral lists this small RNA (80 nucleotides) under Salix viminalis (osier). The record is from RNAcentral. Lineage: Eukaryota; Viridiplantae; Streptophyta; Magnoliopsida; Malpighiales; Salicaceae.